CGUAUCGGAAGGUGCGGCUGGAUCACCUCCUUUA
Molecule: ribosomal RNA, 34 nt
Filed under: Candidatus Kinetoplastidibacterium crithidiae
Lineage: Bacteria; Pseudomonadati; Pseudomonadota; Betaproteobacteria
Also listed under: 3 other names
Description: Candidatus Kinetoplastibacterium crithidii partial 16S ribosomal RNA
Source: RNAcentral